UAGCGUAUAUUAAAGUUGUUGCGGUUAAAAAGCUCGUAGUUGGAUUUCUGUUGAGAACAGGCGGUCCACCUUUUGGGUGAGUAUCUGCAUUGGUCUCGGCAUCUUCUCGGAAAACGUCUCUGCGCUUGAUUGCGUGGUGCGGAGUUCGGGACUUUUACUUUGAGGAAAUUAGAGUGUUCACGGCAGGCAAUCGCCUUGAAUAUAUUAGCAUGGAAUAACGCUAUAGGACAGUUGGGGGCGUCAGUAUUCUGAAGCG
RNAcentral lists this ribosomal RNA (256 nucleotides) under Amoebophrya sp. RNAcentral describes it as "partial small subunit ribosomal RNA". It matches the Rfam family "Eukaryotic small subunit ribosomal RNA", at positions 595 to 859 of the family's 1831-position model. Lineage: Eukaryota; Dinophyceae; Syndiniales; Amoebophryaceae. The record is from RNAcentral.